Long non-coding RNA from Cyprinus carpio carpio, 3667 nucleotides. Lineage: Eukaryota; Metazoa; Chordata; Actinopteri; Cypriniformes; Cyprinidae. The record is from Ensembl.
CUAUUAGCCCACCUAAAAUCAUCUUAAACAAAUUUUCACCAAAUUGACCCAGGACUUAAAUUUAUGCUGUCUAGCCAGUGCUGUACUAAAGAAAAAAAGAACAUUAAACAACCUACAGCCAACUAACAUGACCUCUAACCCUUUGAGGUGUAAUGAGCAGGUCAACUGAUCCUAAUUAAGCAAACUGGCACCACUUUCACAAAUAAGGGUCAUCACACCUGAGAUUAAAUGCACAAUAUCUGUUACUUGUAAACAAUUCAUUAGCCAUGCAGUCAAAGUACAUUGUUUUAAAACCAGCAAGAAGUUCUAAGCUACUUAGCUGCAGAUUUCUCAUUCAUGAAUUAUUAUAGUAAAUGUACAAAUAAUCUACAGAAGCAGUUCAGUUUAAUGUGACCAUAAACGAGGAAGACUGCAGUGACAAUGCCUGAAUCCACAUGGAAAAACUCUGGGAAAGUGUUCCAUUCCAUACACGGUUAAAUCUUGAUGCAUGUUUUCUGCAUGAUUUCUAGAGAUAAUACAGCAUAGAUGCAGCGUGAGUGGGCGUGAGCUUGACGUUGACACACUGUCAUGUUAAAUAAAUGAAGUCUUAGCUCUGUGCCUGUGUUUGAGUUAUUUUUUCCCGGGUUGCUGGGGUAAAGGCUGAAAUAUGAAGGGUUCGGAGCAGAAGGAGCACAUCUGAGCUCUUGACACUGACUGGAGCGAUCUCAAGAGACAUGUUAAGUGCUGUCUGUAGCUUUUUAUUUUUGUUACAGGCAGUUUAACCAGGUGUCACUGAGCAUUGUUUGCUUGAGAACUUCUGAUGGAUUGAAUUGGAAAAAUUGGACAUUUUUAUAUAAUAUUGCUCUUGAUGAUCCAUGUGAUAUUUUAAAGAGAAUCUGAUGCCAUUUAAUUGGGUCAAUCUACAAUUGUGAUGUCAUUUCCUGCUCAUGAAUUCUAAAUUAAACAUAUCAUACAAUCUUAUUUUGUCUUCUUUGACAUGUCAGGGUGAUAUUAAAUAUUUAGUUUAUUUUAAUAAUACAAAUAAAAUUUUUACCAUUGACUGACUUGCUCUUCUGUCAAAAUUUGCUGAAAAUUUUCAAAUUUUUAGGCCAGAUGAGUUUGAGGAGUAUUUAUUUAUCUGAACAGAACUGGAGAGUCCAAACAGCUGAUAAAAGCGUCAUAAAAAUUCACGAGUAAUCCACACCACUCCAGUCCAUCAAUUAACAUCUUUUGAAGCAAAAAAAAUAAAAAAUAAUACAUGAAAAAAUUCAGUACAUCAGGGCAUGGUGCUAAAAAUGCACACCGAGUUUUGUAACAAUACGUCAAAGCGUUUGUAAAAUAUUGAAUUUUUUUUACCAAAUUUAAAAAUGGCCGACACCCAAAAUGGUUGACAUGGGAAAAUUGGGUGUGAUUUGACUCGGCAUGUUCCAAAUGAUUUGACUUAGCAUGCUCCACCAAAUCUAAAGAAAUCAGUUUUGUUAUAUUUGGUCAAACCAUUCAGAAGAUAUAAGCAAAAAUAUAAUUUUUUCGUAUCUCUUGACCACUAGGUGGCACUGUGCCAAAACAAUGCAGGUAGCCUCAGGUCAUGCUUGUUAUAACACAUACCAAGUUUGGUCUCAAUACACCGAAUUGUUGCGAAGAUAAAGUCUCACAUCCAUUUUUGCGUGCUUUUAGUCAAAUUCGUUUGCGUGUUAUUCGAGAAUGGUUUGACUAAUCAACUUGAAUUCCAUAUAUUUUUGCCAGCAUGGUCUGAAGAUAAUGUGAGCCAGUUUUGGUGAAAAUCAGACAAACUGUCUAGGACGAGUUCAGAAAAAGUAAUUAAUUAAUUAAAAAUAGCAAGAAAAGAAACCUAAACCUUUUAAUUUGACCCUUUUGGACUUCAUUUGACUCGGCAUGAGCCAAGGAUUCAGAAGAAAAAAAUAUUUUCCUUCUGUGCCUUACAGUUCAAAAGUUAUUAGCAUAAACAUAAGUGAAAUUUUAGACAAGUGGUGAGACUCCAAACUUGCUGUGGUUGAUGAUGAGACUGUCUUCUAUCAGUGUGCCAAAUUUAAUUUCUCGUAAGCAGUUCUAUGGGCUGCCACAGACUUCCAGAGCGGAAGAAGAAGAAGAAGAAAAAGAAUGCCAACGGACACAAUAGGUGCCAAGAUGCAUUACAAGAUGCAUUACAAAAAAUGUUAGCAUUGAUCUAAUUGCUAAUUAUCAAUAUAUCAAAAUACAUUUUAACAACAUAUCUAAACUGCAUAAGAGAGUAAAACCAUGUGACCAAGUUGAAAUUGUAUUUUCUGUUUUUUAAGAUGCCUUAGAGAUUUUUCAAGAUCAUUUAUACAUGAGUUACAGUUAAAUUAAUUUAAUUUUAAACAUUUUCUAUCAUUUUCAAAAAAAAGGUUUUCUAAACAAAAGUGUAUAUUGUAGUUUGACUUGGUUGUUGAAAAGCAAAAGCAUCUGCCACCACAAUUGUAGAAUGACUCAAAGAACAAAUCUCCCCAAUGAACAUACCUCAAAACUGCAUGCAAAUAAAACUAACAAUUACAAACGCAAACAAAACACGCCAUUUGUGUAGUGCAUGCUUGAAAGCAUAUAUUACUUAUGAAUGAGGCUGUGCUUGCAUUUCUGUGCUUGGAUAUAGAUACUGAGAGCAGCUUCACUUCUGUUAUUACAGGAACAGUUCACCUAAAAAAUGAAAAUUCUCAUAUCAUGCCAAACCGUUUGUUCUUUUUUCAGUGGAAAAAGAGGCAUUUAGCAAAAAGUUCAUGCUGCUCUUUUCCAUACAAGGAAAGUGAAUGGAGACUGUAGUUGUCAAGCUACAAAAUUAGAAAGAAACACCAUAAAUGUACUCAAGUUUAAAGUGCCCCAAUUAUGCCUUUUUCGACUAUUACCUUUCAUGCAGUGUGUCAUGUAGCUGUAUGUGAACAUAAACUAUCUGCAAAGUUGUGACACCGACAGUGCACGAUAGAUAAAGUUAUUAUCUGUCAAAAAAAAAAAAAAAGAGUCAACUUGCAAUUGCCAAAAUGACUCGUUAGGAAUUUGAAUCUUAUUCUGUUACGGCUCUACAUCACGAAGUAACACAUUUGCAUAAUGUCCGCCCAAGUUUUAGGUCGCCAACUUGCCUGCCCACAAACACAGUAAAAUUUCUAUGUGGUUAACAUCAUUUAGAGAAGACACUGUAUCCUACACUGUGAGAGAAAAUUUGUUUUAUCACAUCUCAUAAUCAAUCACAAAGGACUGCACCAUCUGACCAAUCACAGCAGUGAGGGCUCACGGAAAGGAAGGGUUUAGAGAGACUGAUUCUUUGAACUGUCGUUAAUGAUUCAUUUAGAUAUGAGGUAAAAUUAAAUCUAUUUCCUGAGAAAACUAACAUGUUUUUUGACCUUGCAUGCAUGUAAACCUGUUUUAGGAGACUCAUAAAACAAUAUUAGCAACCUUAAAAAUGGCAUAAUAGGGGCACUUUAAUCGAAAUCUUCUGAACUUUGUGAGAGGAAAAGACCCAAUGUAUGUCUAGCAUACUCAGAAGUUUCCUCUAAUGUUAGUGUAUGAAUACCCUUUGUUGUUAUUUAAUUGGCAAAAACAAUUCUUAAUGUUCUAAGAACAUAGGUUUAUUUUUAAUAACAAAAAACAUAGUUCUAGAACAUCCAGAGAAGUUUUUGUGCCAAUCUAAUUAAACUAACACACAAUGUUCUCAAACUUUUUU